RNA transcript from Magnolia sinica, 2792 nucleotides. It is a transcript of the gene named ABC transporter B family member 26, chloroplastic, with no coding region annotated. The transcript has 20 exons. The record is from RefSeq and is a predicted model, not a curated record. NCBI's taxonomy places the organism in Eukaryota, Viridiplantae, Streptophyta, Magnoliopsida, Magnoliales, Magnoliaceae.
AAUCCAAUGAAAGGUGGGAUAUCCAUAUUGGGUCCCAUCAUAUCAUCGCCUUGGAUCAGUACCGCGGGCCAGGCAGAUUGAAACGGAAAGCACGGAAGGGCCCGCACGCUGUACAAUCUCUCGGUCGUCGUCGCUACAGUAGCUUCAGUGGGAGCAGGAAGAGUUAUAAUACUAACGAUAACAGAUGGGAAGGAUAGAUAUGGCGUGCCUCACCCUUAGCCCCUCCUUCUCCUUUCUCUCCUCCUUUCCCCAUCCGCUUUCUGUUUGUUCUCCGUGUCAUCAACGUCCUCACCAUCACCAUCACCUCAAGCUCCAGCUCCAGCUCCAGCUCCAUCUCCAUCAGAAAUGCAGACGGUCCUCUUACAUUCCUCUCCACUGCACACGUAUCGCCUCCUCCUCUCCUAUUCCAAAUGCAGACGGUCACAGAACUGGUACCGAGUUUGUGGAGAGGCUCCGUACAUGGAUCGUUCUCUUUCUCUCAUUCAUGCCUGGUGGACGCUGGUGGAGGUUCCCCGACCAUGCUCCAGGGGAAGAGGAAGGUGCAGAGAAGAAGAUGGCGGUGACUGUGCCAUUCGCGUUGCAUCGGAUGUGGCAGCUGGUUGCGAAUGAUCGAUGGGUCAUCUUUGCUGGCUUCAUUUCCCUUAUUCUUGCAGCGCUUUCAGAGAUCUCAAUACCUCAUUUCUUGGCAGCCUCUAUUUUUUCUGCACAAAGUGCGGAAACAUUGAUAUUCCAAAGAAAUACGAGGAUCUUGGUUUUGUUGUGUUGCGCUUCUGGAAUAUGCAGUGGCUUACGGGGUUGCUGUUUUGGCAUUGCAAACAUGAUCCUGGUUAUGCGUAUGCGGGAAAAGUUAUAUUCAGCACUCUUAUUACAGGAUAUAUCCUUUUUCGAUACAGAAACGGUUGGUGAUCUGACAAGUAGGCUUGGAGCAGAUUGUCAGCAAGUAUCUCGUGUUAUUGGAAAUGAUCUUAAUUUGAUAUCACGCAAUGCCCUUCAGGGAACAGGUGCAUUAAUAUAUUUGUUUACGUUAUCCUGGCCACUUGCACUAUCUACAGUGUUGAUAUGCUCUGCCUUGUCCACAGUCAUGUUCUUUUAUGGCCAGUACCAGAAGAGAGCAGCGAAGUUAACACAAGAAUUCACUGCUUGUGCCAAUGAAGUUGCUCAAGAGGCGUUUUCCUUGAUGAGGACGGUUCGAGUUUAUGGAACAGAGAAGCAAGAAUGUGGAAGAUACAUGCAAUGGUUGAAGAAAUUAGCUGAUAUAAGCUUGCGUCAAAGCAUGGCUUAUGGAUUUUGGACCCUAAGCUUCAAUACCCUUUAUCAUGCUACCCAGGUUAUUGCAGUGCUGGUAGGAGGAAUAUUUAUUAUGGGUGGUCAUAUAACAGUCGAGAAGCUUACAAAGUUCAUAUUGUACUCUGAAUGGUUGAUUUAUUCGACAUGGUUUGUGGGUGAUAAUUGGUCAUCCUUAAUGCAAUCCAUUGGAGCAAGUGAAAAGGUUUUUCAAUUAAUGGAUCUCCUUCCUAGCAAACAAUUCUUAUUACAAGGACUCAAGUUGCAGACGGUGAUUGGGCAUAUUGAGUUUGUGAAUGUCUCUUUUCAUUAUCCUUCUAGGAUAACGGUACCUGUUCUACAACAUUUAAACAUAUCUUUGCAUCCGAAGGAAGUUGUUGCCAUUGUUGGCAGUAAUGGCAGUGGGAAAAGCACACUAGUUCAUCUUCUUCUUCGUCUGUAUGAACCAACAUCUGGUCAGAUCUUUAUUGAUGGUUCCCCUCUUGAAGAGUUGGACAUUAAGUGGCUGAGAGAGAAUAUCGGAUUCGUGGGACAGGAACCUCGUCUUUUCCGGAUGGAUGUUAGCUCAAAUAUAAGAUAUGGAUGCACCAGGGAAAUCAGUCAAGAAGAUGUGGAAUGGGCUGCUAAGCAGGCAUAUGCUCAUGAUUUUAUUUUAUCUCUUCCCAAUGGUUAUGAAACAUUGGUUGACAAUGACCUGCUUAGCGGGGGACAAAAGCAGCGUAUUGCCAUUGCCAGAGCUAUUCUUAGGGACCCUGCUAUUUUGAUUUUUGAUGAAGCCACCAGUGCACUAGAUGCCGAUAGCGAACAUUAUGUGAAGCAAGUUCUUCAUUCAGUUAGGCAUGGGUCUAAGGAAAAGAGGACUGUAAUAGUCAUUGCACAUAGGCUAUCCACAAUACAAGCUGCUGACAGAAUUGUUGUAAUGGACAGUGGUAGAAUUGUUCAGAUGGGCGAUCACAAGGAGCUUCUAAGCAAGGAUGGUCUGUAUGCACAAUUGACAAAAAGACAAACAGAUGGAUUGUUAUCUUGAAUUGAGUGGAUUGAUAGGUCAAACUGAUCUUUCUUCGCGGUCUAGCCCUCUUGAGUGUAAUUGAAGCAGUUUCAAGUGAUGAACAUGCCCAAUUUACAAUGAAAUUUACAAAAGAGUUUCAUUUUUUUAAAAUCAGGUUUUCUCUACAAAUAUGAGAAUGAAGAAUGGGCCCUAGAUCCAUAUUACAUACCAUUCUAUUUGGAGUUGAAGAAGUGUCUCCCUCUACGAGAAGAGGAGAUAUGGCUGAUGCACCCACACAAGGGUAUUUGGGGCUUCCUCUUCACUAGCCAUCUAUAAAACAAAGUUCUUGAUAUGUUAAAAUCUUCACUACACUGCUCUAUAGAAUUGCAGGAUGUAAUGCUUACCUAUACCUAAACGGGCAUACUUACCUAAUUGUCUAAAUCAGUCACUCAUUCAAAGUUGGAUAGAUUGUAAUGCCUUCAUUUUUCAAUUUAAAUGCCAUAUCAAAAUUUCAGUAGCA